GGAAGCUGUGGAAAGGAAACAAGACUGAGAGGGAAGGGCCCAACUGGGAGUGGCAGUUGGGUCUUGUGACUAGCACUUCCUUCCUGCCGGGAGUGGCAGUUGGGUCUUGUGACUAGCACUUCCUUCCUGCCGGGAGUGGCAGUUGGGUCUUGUGACUAGCACUUCCUUCCUGCAGGCUUCCUGGUGUUGGAGGAGAGAGGAGCUUGUUCAGCCCAGUCUGGAGUGGCAUGCUCUUCUUGGUUCAGCCCAAAGACACAGGCUUCUGAAGUGAAAGAAAAGAAGUCCCUUGCAAAACAUGAAAACUUAAUGGCUACAAUUGGCCAGUAUCUUUGGGGAUAAUCCAGGAGCUUGGUUCUGUGAGAUAAAAGGA
RNAcentral lists this long non-coding RNA (370 nucleotides) under Monodelphis domestica (gray short-tailed opossum). RNAcentral's name for it is "lncRNA (ENSMODG00000037062.1)". The record is from RNAcentral. Lineage: Eukaryota; Metazoa; Chordata; Mammalia; Didelphimorphia; Didelphidae.